This 451-nucleotide ribosomal RNA is filed under the name uncultured bacterium. RNAcentral describes it as "bacterial SSU rRNA". It matches the Rfam family "Bacterial small subunit ribosomal RNA", at positions 28 to 521 of the family's 1533-position model. The record is from RNAcentral.
GAUAAACGCUGGCGGCGUGCCUAACACAUGCAAGUCGAACGAUCCCGCAAGGGAGAGUGGCGGAAGGGUGAGUAACACGUGGGAAUCUACCUCCUCGCAGGGAACAACCUCUCGAAAGAGAGGCUAAUACCCAAAAGGGUCAGAAAUGAUCAGAGUCGAAAGGCGUGAGGAGAGGAGCCCGCGGCCCAUCAGCUAGUUGGUGAGGUAAUGGCUUACCAAGGCUACGACGGGUAGGGGAUCUGAGAGGAUGUCCCCCACACUGGAACUGAAACACGGUCCAGACGCCUACGGGUGGCAGCAGUGAGGAAUAUUGGACAAUGGGCGAAAGCCCGAUCCAGCAACGCCGCGUGGAGGAUGAAGGCCUUGGGUCGUAAACUUCUUUAGAGGGAGACGAGAAAGGACGGUAUCCCUAGAAUAAGCGACGGCAAACUAACGUGCCAGCAGCCGCGGU